UGAGGAUCAGAAAUGUUACUGAGAAACUGUGCUAUGUAUAUGUAACUUCCUAAAGGAAUUGAAGAUAACCAGAACUUACUAAUACUGAGAUUCCUU
This is a non-coding RNA of Glycine soja, 96 nucleotides long. Lineage: Eukaryota; Viridiplantae; Streptophyta; Magnoliopsida; Fabales; Fabaceae. The record is from Rfam.